CUAUGCCAUAGUUCCUCAGACAAUGACCACAGACAGGCUUCUCCUUCUCAGAGAGGGAGAUUCCCAACUUCAGGGUGGUGCUGCCAUGCUGACAUCCAGCAAAUUUGUUUACAUAAAGCUUUAUCAGAGGUUAAUCCUCUAAAGACAGAAUUUGUGGGAAAGAGCCAACUCAAUCCCCAAUCUCUCAAGGCAACGCUGGAUCCUCAACCGGCUGAGCGAGGUCAGGGAUUGAACCUGCAUCUUCAUGGAAUACUAGUCAGGUUUGCCAACCCCUGAGCCACGAUGGGAACUCUUGACACUUUUAUAAUCAAAGUGGUAAUAUUUCUGACAGGGCCCUCAGUUAAAUCAUAAAGAUUCCAUCCUGGAAAGAAUCCUUGAUCCAUCUAAAACCUUGUUACUGUGUCCUCUGUUGUUAUUUUUAAUUCCUGAGAGUAACACCACAGUGUAUUUCAUUAGGGUUUCUCUUCAG
This 469-nucleotide long non-coding RNA is filed under the name Sus scrofa (pig). RNAcentral's name for it is "lncRNA (ENSSSCG00005008851.1)". The record is from RNAcentral. Lineage: Eukaryota; Metazoa; Chordata; Mammalia; Artiodactyla; Suidae.